GACGAACGCUGGCGGCGUGCCUAAUACAUGCAAGUAGAACGCUGAAGGAGGAGCUUGCUUCUCUGGAUGAGUUGCGAACGGGUGAGUAACGCGUAGGUAACCUGCCUGGUAGCGGGGGAUAACUAUUGGAAACGAUAGCUAAUACCGCAUAAUAGUAGAUGUUGCAUGACAUUUGCUUAAAAGGUGCAAUUGCAUCACUACCAGAUGGACCUGCGUUGUAUUAGCUAGUUGGUGAGGUAACGGCUCACCAAGGCAACGAUACAUAGCCGACCUGAGAGGGUGAUCGGCCACACUGGGACUGAGACACGGCCCAGACUCCUACGGGAGGCAGCAGUAGGGAAUCUUCGGCAAUGGGGGGAACCCUGACCGAGCAACGCCGCGUGAGUGAGGAAGGUUUUCGGAUCGUAAAGCUCUGUUGUAAGAGAAGAACGAGUGUGAGAGUGGAAAGUUCACACUGUGA
This 460-nucleotide ribosomal RNA is filed under the name Streptococcus mitis. RNAcentral describes it as "bacterial SSU rRNA". It matches the Rfam family "Bacterial small subunit ribosomal RNA", at positions 28 to 472 of the family's 1533-position model. The record is from RNAcentral. Lineage: Bacteria; Bacillati; Bacillota; Bacilli; Lactobacillales; Streptococcaceae.